RNAcentral lists this ribosomal RNA (438 nucleotides) under uncultured bacterium. Its description in RNAcentral is "bacterial SSU rRNA". It matches the Rfam family "Bacterial small subunit ribosomal RNA", at positions 956 to 1392 of the family's 1533-position model. The record is from RNAcentral.
UGAACGCGAAGAACCUUACCGGGAUUUGACAUCCUACUAACGAAGUAGAGAUACAUUAGGUGCCCUUCGGGGAAAGUAGAGACAGGUGGUGCAUGGUUGUCGUCAGCUCGUGUCGUGAGAUGUUGGGUUAAGUCCCGCAACGAGCGCAACCCCUAUCCUUAGUAGCCAGCAGUAAGAUGGGCACUCUAGGGAGACUGCCAGGGAUAACCUGGAGGAAGGUGGGGAUGACGUCAAAUCAUCAUGCCCCUUAUGACUUGGGCUACACACGUGCUACAAUGGCGUAAACAAAGUGAAGCGAAGUCGUGAGGCCAAGCAAAUCACAAAAAUAACGUCUCAGUUCGGAUUGUAGUCUGCAACUCGACUACAUGAAGCUGGAAUCGCUAGUAAUCGCAGAUCAGAAUGCUGCGGUGAAUACGUUCCCGGGUCUUGUACACACCG